This 254-nucleotide ribosomal RNA is filed under the name uncultured bacterium. Its description in RNAcentral is "partial 16S ribosomal RNA". It matches the Rfam family "Bacterial small subunit ribosomal RNA", at positions 524 to 776 of the family's 1533-position model. The record is from RNAcentral.
UACGUAGGGGGCAAGCGUUGUCCGGAAUCAUUGGGCGUAAAGAGCGUGUAGGCGGCCCGAUAAGUCCGCUGUGAAAGUCCAGGGCUCAACCCUGGAAUGCCGGUGGAUACUGUCGGGCUCGAAUCCGGAAGAGGUGAGUGGAAUUCCUGGUGUAGCGGUGAAAUGCGCAGAUAUCAGGAGGAACACCAAUGGCGAAGGCAGCUCACUGGGACGGUAUUGACGCUGGAGACGCGAAAGCGUGGGGAGCAAACAGG